UAUUAGGGAGUGGGUACCGGUCGUCCCGUAGUGUUUUAUUAAGUGCCCGGAAGUCCAAACAAAGUCGUAGUACUCCAUGUUUUUUUGCACUGGGAUAAGUGGGGCAUUAUAGGGUGAUCGCGAAGGGCGAAUCACACCCUGUUGCUGGAGCGAUAUAAGUUGUUCAUUUACUCUGUCAUGAUAACUGAUAGGAAUGUUAUAUGAACGCCUGUACACUACUUCAUCAGUGUUUUGCUUGAUGGUGCUUAAAAAAAUAGGGCGUUACUGUUAAUGGUUCUUGUUUUGUGGAAAACACUGUUAUAUAUUUAUCUAUUAAGGACUUUAAAACCUAAUUCUCUCUCUUCACUUGGGAAUUUAGCGUCAACAAUUUGAUAGAGGCUUUUCUUCCUUACUUCAAGCUCUGCGGGCUUCAAGUCUGUUUUAGCUGUGUCAGCGGUCUGUACACUAGAUACUUGUGGCAGAUCAGCGUAUAGCUCAUGGGUGACAGGCUUCACAGAUCCUAACGUUGUAUUAUCAUCUGUCUUUACACUCACUUUCAAUAUUCAAAUACGGCACAGUGACAUAAGAUCUUUGAUUGUCAGAUGAAGGGGUUAACUUAACUAUCCCUGAGCACAAGACUCUAGCCUGAGGAGUACUAACACAAGGCUCAAAUAAAGCUUCACUUGCCUGUAGUUGCGUCACUAGCGUUAUGUAACCUGCAACAGUUGCAUUCAGUUGCAAAGGUUCCGCUGCUUGGCAACGUACGGCCUUAUUUUCAGUGAGACCUUCUUCAUUUCCAUCUACAUUUAGCUAAGAUCCUUCACCUCUAGAUAUAAGACAUUUUUCCUGGCAUAAUUGUAUGGUUUCCCCUUCUAUUAUCAGUUUUAAGCUUCGUUCUUUUGUUCCUCAUUUAGUUGCAAUGUUUUCAAAAUAAUCUCGUGCUACACGACAAAUCAGUACUCAACAUAAUAUGAGUCGGCAAAUCUACAUCGCGUGUUAUCAAUAAGUCUUGGAAACUACUUUUUCCUUCCAUAUUAACUUGUCUUUUACCGUCAUUUUCAAUAUGGUAUCUUUGCACAGAGACAAUAUUCACGGGUUUCGCUUCACAGUUAUUUACUGCGAGCCCUAAUUCUUUAAUAAAUUCAUCCGUUAAAAACUCACACACGCUCCUGUUUCUAGGAGUGCUGCCACUUUUGCAUAUGUAUUAUCAUGAGUAGUGCGAUCUGCCUACCAAAGUUACUCUUGAGUUAUGUUAAUUAUAGCCUUCUUGUCAUUAUUUUUAAGGUCACUCCCUUGUUCGUUAUAGCCUUCUUUUCCUUAUAUUUAUGUGAGGCGGUUACUCCCUUGUUCGUUAUAGCCUUCAUCUUAUUAUAUUAAAGGUUACUCCCUUGUUCGUUAUAGCCUUCAUCUUAUUAUAUUAAAGGUUACUCCCUUGUUCGUUAUAGCCUUCAUCUUAUUAUAUUAAAGGUUACUCCCUUGUUCGUUAUAGCCUUCAUCUUAUUAUAUUAAAGGUCACUCCCUUGUUCGUUAUAGCCUUCAUCUUAUUAUAUUAAAGGUCACUCCCUUGUUCGUUAUAGCCUUCAUCUUAUUAUAUUAAAGGUUACUCCCUUGUUCGUUAUAGCCUUCAUCUUAUUAUAUUAAAGGUUACUCCCUUCUUCGUUAUAGCCUUCAUCUUAUUAUAUUAAAGGUCACUCCCUUGUUCGUUAUAGCCUUCAUCUUAUUAUAUUAAAGGUUACUCCCUUGUUCGUUAUAGCCUUCAUCUUAUUAUAUUAAAGGUCACUCCCUUGUUCGUUAUAGCCUUCAUCUUAUUAUAUUAAAGGUUACUCUCUUCUUCGUUAUAGCCUUCAUCUUAUUAUAUUAAAGGUUACUCCCUUGUUCGUUAUAGCCUUCAUCUUAUUAUAUUAAAGGUUACUCUCUUGUUCGUUAUAGCCUUCAUCUUAUUAUAUUAAAGGUUACUCCCUUGUUCGUUAUAGCCUUCAUCUUAUUAUAUUAAAGGUUACUCCCUUGUUCGUUAUAGCCUUCAUCUUAUUAUAUUAAAGGUUACUCCCUUGUUCGUUAUAGCCUUCAUCUUAUUAUAUUAAAGGUUACUCCCUUCUUCGUUAUAGCCUUCAUCUUAUUAUAUUAAAGGUUACUCCCUUGUUCGUUAUAGCCUUCAUCUUAUUAUAUUAAAGGUUACUCCCUUCUUCGUUAUAGCCUUCAUCUUAUUAUAUUAAAGGUUACUCCCUUGUUCGUUAUAGCCUUCAUCUUAUUAUAUUAAAGGUUACUCCCUUGUUCGUUAUAGCCUUCAUCUUAUUAUAUUAAAGGUUACUCCCUGUUUUGUUCUUCGCUCAUUUUCCGUUUUUUCCACUGCAAGUGUGCAUAUUUAUUUAUUAUUUAUUAUUCAUUUAUUUAUUUAAUGUUAUUUGUAGUAGAUAACUGAGGGGGGCACUACCCUGGCCUCCUCUUCCUCUGAUUCUCUUACUUCACACAUUUAUCUUAAUACUUCACACUAUUGUCCAUAUGCUUCAUUUUUUUUAUUUUUUUAUUCAUGACUUUUUAUCCAUACCUCACACUUUUCUUAGUAUUUCACAUUUUUUCUAGAUCAUACUCUACACUUCCUACCUGGGGGACGCGGGUUAGGCCUUUAUAAAGUCACUCUAUGGCUGCAUGCCCGCCUCGGCACACCUCCACCCUGUGAGGCGUAGAGCCCCGU
Long non-coding RNA from Eriocheir sinensis (Chinese mitten crab), 2671 nucleotides. RefSeq lists it as uncharacterized. The record is from RefSeq and is a predicted model, not a curated record. NCBI's taxonomy places the organism in Eukaryota, Metazoa, Arthropoda, Malacostraca, Decapoda, Varunidae. The transcript has 5 exons.